AGUGAACGCUGGCGGUAGGCCUAACACAUGCAAGUCGAACGGCAGCACAGUAAGAGCUUGCUCUUACGGGUGGCGAGUGGCGGACGGGUGAGGAAUACAUCGGAAUCUACUUUUUCGUGGGGGAUAACGUAGGGAAACUUACGCUAAUACCGCAUACGACCUACGGGUGAAAGCAGGGGAUCUUCGGACCUUGCGCGAUUGAAUGAGCCGAUGUCGGAUUAGCUAGUUGGCGGGGUAAAGGCCCACCAAGGCGACGAUCCGUAGCUGGUCUGAGAGGAUGAUCAGCCACACUGGAACUGAGACACGGUCCAGACUCCUACGGGAGGCAGCAGUGGGGAAUAUUGGACAAUGGGCGCAAGCCUGAUCCAGCCAUACCGCGUGGGUGAAGAAGGCCUUCGGGUUGUAAAGCCCUUUUGUUGGGAAGGAAAGGCAGCAGGUUAAUACCCCGCUGUUCUGACGGUACCCAAAGAAUAAGCACCGGCUAACUUCGUG
Molecule: ribosomal RNA, 492 nt
Filed under: uncultured bacterium
Lineage: Bacteria
Description: partial 16S ribosomal RNA
Rfam family: Bacterial small subunit ribosomal RNA
Source: RNAcentral